Anguilla rostrata (American eel) is the source of this 1159-nucleotide long non-coding RNA. RefSeq lists it as uncharacterized. The transcript has 3 exons. The record is from RefSeq and is a predicted model, not a curated record. NCBI's taxonomy places the organism in Eukaryota, Metazoa, Chordata, Actinopteri, Anguilliformes, Anguillidae.
UCAAGAUCUUGAUAAGAAGAAUCAGGUGCCUUAGUGCUGGACUAAAACAACAACCUGCACUUUUCAGAUAAGAUUGGACAUCACUGGCAUAGGAUAACAUAACAGAUUGACACUACUUGUUUUCUAUUCCAUAAAACAGUGAUAGCCAACCGUGUUCCAGGAGCUCUAUCCUCCUGUAGGUAUUAACUCUAACGCUAACAAGGCACACCUCAGUCAACAGCUACAGAUCUUUUUGAGUUGCUAAUUAAUAGAGUCAGCAACUUAUGGCUGAAUUAUGGCUGAAAAGAAAACCAACAGGAUGGUAGAUCUCCAGGAACGGGGUUGGUUACCACUGCCAUACAAUAGUUUAUUUGUAAAUUUAAACAAAGCUAAGACCGGUUUUAUUCUCCUCUAGUGGCAAUGAGGAGGAAUAUAUCUAAACAGGGAUACCUGGGAAUGGCACACGUUUAAACAAAGAACCCGGACUGUUCCAAUGCUAACUGUGGCCAGCAGCCCAAAUGGUUCACAGUUGGCUGUCUUCAUGGCAUCUCACCAUACACCAGCAACCCCUGCUGAUCAAUUGGGUGCCCACAACUUUGCCUGCUGAGCUACGUGACCUGUAUGCCUAAAACUUGUCUUGGAAAAAAGGAAACAUGAUGCAAUAAUAACUUUAGCUAUCGGCCCAUCAAUAUCCCAGAGGUGCCUGUGAGUGUAGUUUUAAGUUAGUUUUCUUGCUCUCUAUUUUGACAGUUGCACAUCACCAGUUGCCCAUACAACUUUCUACCAUAAGUUAAAAAUGGUUAAAUUUAACAUUAAAAAAAUAUAUAUAUUUCCCAAAUCUAUGUAUAGUCAUUACAUAUCAAGUCUGGCCAGAGACUCCUUACAGUACGUUAAAGGAUCCCCAGGGGUCUGUGCACCCCUGUUGAAAACCCAGGCCUUAUAUGGUCAUCUUCAAAAAUAGAGAAGGUUCUCGGAGGAAAGGAGUGGCAAUCCCUCCUUUCCUCAAUCCCUCAAUGCAAAAACAUCCAUUCUGCAUUUCCAUCAGGGAUGCACAUCAGCAUGUCCGUCAUUUGCUGGUGCUCUGUCUGCAACUAGUUAUUAACUCGCACUAGUCCACACUUUACACACUUUAGUACAUUAUCACAUUACGUUUUGGGUUUGUUCCAUUCUGACAAGGCAU